Molecule: long non-coding RNA, 308 nt
Organism: Odocoileus virginianus texanus
Lineage: Eukaryota; Metazoa; Chordata; Mammalia; Artiodactyla; Cervidae
Source: RefSeq, a predicted model, not a curated record
CCGACUGAACGACUUUCAUUUCACUUCAGGUCAAAGGCUCUGCAAUGACAGUCUGGCUACUUGCAAUUUCCCCUAUUGACAUACUGGAUUUAUUUCUCAUUCUUCUAAGUAAACAAUUAAACCAGCUGUGGAUUCCGGGUUGAAGAGGCUGUAGAACAUAGCACCUUUCCAUCAGCAGAGAGCUUGACUAUACUGUUUAUGCCUUAGCUCAGCUCCUAGAGCACUUAGAACAGUGUCAACCUUGUAGUGGAUACUCAAUACAUACCACUGAAUAAAGAAAUAAUCAAUGUUCUUGUAUAGCAACUUGA